This 1372-nucleotide ribosomal RNA is filed under the name uncultured bacterium. RNAcentral describes it as "bacterial SSU rRNA". It matches the Rfam family "Bacterial small subunit ribosomal RNA", at positions 28 to 1381 of the family's 1533-position model. The record is from RNAcentral.
GAUGAACGCUGGCGGCGUGCCUAAUACAUGCAAGUCGAGCGAGCGGAUGAGAAGCUUGCUUCUCUGAUGUUAGCGGCGGACGGGUGAGUAACACGUGGAUAACCUACCUAUAAGACUGGGAUAACUUCGGGAAACCGGAGCUAAUACCGGAUAAUAUUUUGAACCGCAUGGUUCAAAAGUGAAAGACGGUCUUGCUGUCACUUAUAGAUGGAUCCGCGCUGCAUUAGCUGGUUGGUAAGGUAACGGCUUACCAAGGCAACGAUGCAUAGCCGACCUGAGAGGGUGAUCGGCCACACUGGAACUGAGACACGGUCCAGACUCCUACGGGAGGCAGCAGUAGGGAAUCUUCCGCAAUGGGCGAAAGCCUGACGGAGCAACGCCGCGUGAGUGAUGAAGGCCUUCGGAUCGUAAAACUCUGUUAUUAGGGAAGAACAUAUGUGUAAGUAACUGUGCACAUCUUGACGGUACCUAAUCAGAAAGCCACGGCUAACUACGUGCCAGCAGCCGCGGUAAUACGUAGGUGGCAAGCGUUAUCCGGAAUUAUUGGGCGUAAAGCGCGCGUAGGCGGUUUUUUAAGUCUGAUGUGAAAGCCCACGGCUCAACCGUGGAGGGUCAUUGGAAACUGGAAAACUUGAGUGCAGAAGAGGAAAGUGGAAUUCCAUGUGUAGCGGUGAAAUGCGCAGAGAUAUGGAGGAACACCAGUGGCGAAGGCGACUUUCUGGUCUGUAACUGACGCUGAUGUGCGAAAGCGUGGGGAUCAAACAGGAUUAGAUACCCUGGUAGUCCACGCCGUAAACGAUGAGUGCUAAGUGUUAGGGGGUUUCCGCCCCUUAGUGCUGCAGCUAACGCAUUAAGCACUCCGCCUGGGGAGUACGACCGCAAGGUUGAAACUCAAAGGAAUUGACGGGGACCCGCACAAGCGGUGGAGCAUGUGGUUUAAUUCGAAGCAACGCGAAGAACCUUACCAAAUCUUGACAUCCUUUGACAACUCUAGAGAUAGAGCUUUCCCCUUCGGGGGACAAAGUGACAGGUGGUGCAUGGUUGUCGUCAGCUCGUGUCGUGAGAUGUUGGGUUAAGUCCCGCAACGAGCGCAACCCUUAAGCUUAGUUGCCAUCAUUAAGUUGGGCACUCUAAGUUGACUGCCGGUGACAAACCGGAGGAAGGUGGGGAUGACGUCAAAUCAUCAUGCCCCUUAUGAUUUGGGCUACACACGUGCUACAAUGGACAAUACAAAGGGCAGCGAAACCGCGAGGUCAAGCAAAUCCCAUAAAGUUGUUCUCAGUUCGGAUUGUAGUCUGCAACUCGACUACAUGAAGCUGGAAUCGCUAGUAAUCGUAGAUCAGCAUGCUACGGUGAAUACGUUCCCGGGUCU